RNAcentral lists this ribosomal RNA (253 nucleotides) under uncultured bacterium. Its description in RNAcentral is "partial 16S ribosomal RNA". It matches the Rfam family "Bacterial small subunit ribosomal RNA", at positions 524 to 776 of the family's 1533-position model. The record is from RNAcentral.
UACGGAGGGUGCAAGCGUUAUCCGGAUUUACUGGGCUUAAAGGGUGCGUAGGCGGCUUUUUAAGUCAGUGGUGAAAGACAACAGCUCAACUGUUGCAGUGCCAUUGAUACUGAAGAGCUUGAGUACAGAUGAGGUAGGCGGAAUUUAUGGUGUAGCGGUGAAAUGCAUAGAUACCAUAAAGAACACCUAUUGCGAAGGCAGCUUACUAAGCUGUAACUGACGCUGAGGCACGAAAGUGUGGGGAUCAAACAGG